AACGUAGGAGACGAGCGUUAUCCGGAUUUACUGGGCGUAAAGAGCGUGUAGGAGGCAAUACAAGUUGGAUGUGAAAGCUCCCGGCUUAACUGGGAGAGGUCGUUCAAGACUGUAUAGCUAGAGGAAGGCAGAGGUAGAUGGAACUCCGGGAGUAGUGGUGAAAUGCGUAGAUAUCCGGAAGAACACCAGAGGCGAAAGCGAUCUACUGGGCCUUUACUGACACUGAGACGCGAAAGCCAGGGUAGCAAACGGGAUUAGAGACCCCGGUAGUCCUGGCCGUAAACGAUGUAGACUGGGCGUUUGUGGGGUAAAACCCAUGAGUGCCGAAGCUAACGCGAUAAGUCUACCGCUUGGGGAGUACGGUCGCAAGAUUAAA
This 376-nucleotide ribosomal RNA is filed under the name uncultured bacterium. Its description in RNAcentral is "bacterial SSU rRNA". It matches the Rfam family "Bacterial small subunit ribosomal RNA", at positions 524 to 898 of the family's 1533-position model. The record is from RNAcentral.